This is a long non-coding RNA of Gasterosteus aculeatus aculeatus (three-spined stickleback), 1682 nucleotides long. Lineage: Eukaryota; Metazoa; Chordata; Actinopteri; Perciformes; Gasterosteidae. The record is from Ensembl.
UGCUUCCUGAGCCACCAGCGGGGGCAUAGACGUUGGGUCAUCACCAGACACAACAGCAAAGCUGCUGGUGUUGCUUUCUUCUCCGUCGUGUGAGUCACUGGUCUGGUUGUUCAUAUUUCGGUGGACAGAUUUUGUCACCGUCAUCGCUCUGCAACCGUACAAUAUGCAUGCAUGGAACAGACACGCAAAGGCCCGGCAGCAGCAGAGCUGGGGCGAAAGAUGAAGAUACGGCUGCCACAGACCGGAACAGGGGGUGCCCGCAGAUCUGUGACUCACGGCCACACCGUUGGUCUCAUGAGGGGAGUAAUCCAGCCGUCACACUCCGCGUGAAGAAGGCCGCAUUCUUCCCGCCGGCCAGUGACAUCACAGAUUUUUUUUAAAGCUGCUGAUUCCUGGACCGCCAUCUCUUCGCACACAAAGAAACAAACAGUGUACACACACGCACACACACAGACACGUUGUUAUUCUCACUACCACAAACAUCCCCGACAUAAUGCAUGCUUGUUGACUGUGUGUCCCUCAUAAAACUAAAAUAAGAGACUCGUUGAUUGAAUACAACAUUGAUGAAUGUAACCGUUGCCAUGGGGACUGAACAAAACAAAGCAGCCUUGUUUGGAAGGUAUCAACAAAAAUACUUCAGCAAGAUUAAGUGUUUUAAAAAAGCAACUUGAGGCAGUGCACAAAGCAAUGGUGAUGAUGUCCCCUUAUUAUUCGAUCUGGCCAUCCUCAAUCCUUUUCUAUCUCAUAGUAAAUGGUUGCAUAGGAACAGCAGAGAAAAGCGUGAAUUGAAUAGGUCAUGUGAUCAGACAAACAAUAAGACCACUCAUUGUUUCUGAAUGCAAUCUGAGAGCACCGGUUUGCUUGCACCUUUCUCAAGGUCUCUGGAGGAGAUGGAGGAUUCUAGCAGGAGUCAAUGGGCCUGAGGAGGAGGAAGAACAUCAUCCUGGACAGUUAGUACGAGGACAACGCCUGGGUUCACGUCACGAGGAGCGCGCUGAUACACUACACGGUGCUCCUCAUCCUUCAGGAGAUGAGGGCUGUGAACUGUGAAGUAAUGGGAUUCAAGUGAGCGUCAGAUACACGCUCACUCUCACACACAGCGACCCGCUGACGGCUAGUGUGAGGGUACUGGGAGGAUGUCCUACAUGCACCUGAAACAUAAGAGUCUCUCCACAAAAAUGUGUAGCAAUGCAAACAAAAAAUAGUAAGGAAUCCACAAAUAAAAAUAGUUUUUUAAACUUAUUUCAGCUAACUUGUGGACAUUACUGGGGUAACGUAUCACGUGCUAAAGACAAGCGUCUCGACUUGUGUCAAGAGGCACUUACAGAUGUAAUGGGGGGUUGGGCGAGUGCAGCCAUUUAAAAAAAAAACAUUUUAGGCUCUGAUAAUAAAUUAAACGGAAAUAAUAUACGUUACUUAUUCUUUCUGUGCUCCCUAGAUUAUGAGGUGAGAGUAUUAGCUCACAAGGUCACGCCCAUGCAACAACUUUUUCAUCAGGGUAUUUCUAUCAAUCAGAUGUCUCCAUUUUCAGCCAACAGGUUACAGGCUCAAUGGUUUGAAUGCAACCGUAACAGCAUCCAAAAACAUUUUUGAUAAAACAUUCUUAUUUGUGUGUGUGACUCAAAAAUAAAUUUGUGAAUCCUUCUGUUCUUUGACGACAUAAUUAUCCACGCACACUCACG